This 649-nucleotide ribosomal RNA is filed under the name Salmonella enterica subsp. enterica serovar Infantis. RNAcentral's name for it is "partial 23S ribosomal RNA". It matches the Rfam family "Bacterial large subunit ribosomal RNA", at positions 2154 to 2802 of the family's 2925-position model. The record is from RNAcentral. RNAcentral also lists the same sequence under 2 other names. Lineage: Bacteria; Pseudomonadati; Pseudomonadota; Gammaproteobacteria; Enterobacterales; Enterobacteriaceae.
GCUUUGAAGCGUGGACGCCAGUCUGCGUGGAGCCGACCUUGAAAUACCACCCUUUAAUGUUUGAUGUUCUAACGUGGAUCCGUAAUCCGGGUUGCGGACAGUGUCUGGUGGGUAGUUUGACUGGGGCGGUCUCCUCCUAAAGAGUAACGGAGGAGCACGAAGGUUGGCUAAUCCUGGUCGGACAUCAGGAGGUUAGUGCAAUGGCAUAAGCCAGCUUGACUGCGAGCGUGACGGCGCGAGCAGGUGCGAAAGCAGGUCAUAGUGAUCCGGUGGUUCUGAAUGGAAGGGCCAUCGCUCAACGGAUAAAAGGUACUCCGGGGAUAACAGGCUGAUACCGCCCAAGAGUUCAUAUCGACGGCGGUGUUUGGCACCUCGAUGUCGGCUCAUCACAUCCUGGGGCUGAAGUAGGUCCCAAGGGUAUGGCUGUUCGCCAUUUAAAGUGGUACGCGAGCUGGGUUUAGAACGUCGUGAGACAGUUCGGUCCCUAUCUGCCGUGGGCGCUGGAGAACUGAGGGGGGCUGCUCCUAGUACGAGAGGACCGGAGUGGACGCAUCACUGGUGUUCGGGUUGUCAUGCCAAUGGCACUGCCCGGUAGCUAAAUGCGGAAGAGAUAAGUGCUGAAAGCAUCUAAGCACGAAACUUGCCCCGA